GAUGAACGCUAGCGGCAGGCCUAAUACAUGCAAGUCAAGGGGUAGCAAUACACCGGCGGACGGGUGCGUAACGCGUACACAACGUACCUCAGAGCGGGGGAUAGCAUUGGGAAACUGGUGGUAAAACCCCAUGGUGUUGUUGAAUGGCAUCAUUUAACAACUAAAGGUUACACUCUGAGAUCGGUGUGCGUCUGAUUAGCUAGUUGGUGGGGUAACGGCCCACCAAGGCGACGAUCAGUAGGGGGUGUGAGAGCAUGACCCCCCACAUGGGUACUGAGACACGGGACCCAACUCCUACGGGAGGCAGCAGUAAGGAUAUUGGACAAUGGGCGAAAGCCUGAUCAGCCAUGCCGCGUGAAGGAUGAAGGCGCUCAGCGUUGU
RNAcentral lists this ribosomal RNA (381 nucleotides) under uncultured bacterium. RNAcentral describes it as "bacterial SSU rRNA". It matches the Rfam family "Bacterial small subunit ribosomal RNA", at positions 28 to 426 of the family's 1533-position model. The record is from RNAcentral.